RNAcentral lists this long non-coding RNA (458 nucleotides) under Brassica napus (rape). RNAcentral's name for it is "long non-coding RNA (BNAP_LNC018193)". The record is from RNAcentral. Lineage: Eukaryota; Viridiplantae; Streptophyta; Magnoliopsida; Brassicales; Brassicaceae.
GGUGUGUGGAGCUAGUCUUUUUGUGCUUUGGUCUCUUCUAUUCAGAGCUCUGUGGUUCUUCGUUGGCAUGAGCUCCUUGUAUGUGGUUGUUUUGUUUGUGAGGUGAUUCAUACCUUUUAGCUGGUGGUUGUGCAUUAUGCAUGUGUUUUCCUGCUUCGUGGUGACUUUGGUCCGGUGAUUAUUCUUUCUCAAUCUUUUUUUGGUGUUUUGGAUUGGUGCUUGAUCGCGUUCAUUUGUGUUUCAGACUUUUAUUGAGUAAGUGUUACUAUAGUAUUCUAUUUUUUCUUUGUGAUUGUGGAGAUUUAAGUUUAGAUUAUGUGUCUUACUCUAGUUUUUUUAGUUUAGUUAUUUUCUGAUUUUAAUAGUAAAAUAAUUAUAAUUUGUAAAUAAAAUAAUAGAAAAUUAAUAAAAAAUAAUAAAAUAGUAAAAAUUUAUGUUAUUUUUAGUUGUGAAUAAAU